Molecule: long non-coding RNA, 232 nt
Filed under: Elaeis guineensis (African oil palm)
Lineage: Eukaryota; Viridiplantae; Streptophyta; Magnoliopsida; Arecales; Arecaceae
Description: long non-coding RNA (EGUI_LNC072139)
Source: RNAcentral
UGCCCUUUUUACCGAUGUUUAAAAUUUUGCGUAGCUAAUUGUGCUCUUUACCUAUGUAAAAUUUUGCACAUGUAAAUGUUGCGUCGGCAAAAGCCCUAUUUCUUGUAGUGAGUUCUCUCCGGCGGUUCGAUAAUUACACUCCUUUUUUUUUAUCCAUCCCCCAAUCUUAAUUUCUGAUGGAGAUUGAGGGUCAAGGAUACCUACAGUGACCCAGGCCAAUGAAGUCCCCUCU